Molecule: ribosomal RNA, 327 nt
Filed under: uncultured soil bacterium
Lineage: Bacteria
Description: bacterial SSU rRNA
Rfam family: Bacterial small subunit ribosomal RNA
Source: RNAcentral
AGAUUGAACGCUGGCGGCAUGCCUAACACAUGCAAGUCGAACGGGAGUAGCAAUACUCUAGUGGCGGACGGGUGAGGAAUACGUAGGAAUUUGCCCUUAAGUGGGGGAUAACCCGGGAAACCCGGAUUAAUACCGCAUGACCUCGAAAGAGCAAAGUGGGGGAUCGCAAGACCUCACGCUUUUGGAGAAGCCUACGUCGGAUUAGCUAGUUGGUGAGGUAAUGGCUCACCAAGGCGACGAUCCGUAACUGGUCUGAGAGGAUGAUCAGUCACACCGGAACUGAGACACGGUCCGGACUCCUACGGGAGGCAGCGAGGUAGGAAUAGU